GGUUCUUGCGCACAGUGGUUAAGCACUCAGCUGCUAACUGAAAGGUUGGUGGUUCAAACCCACCAAGGACAA
RNAcentral lists this transfer RNA (72 nucleotides) under Loxodonta africana (African savanna elephant). It matches the Rfam family "tRNA". From Rfam's summary of the family: Transfer RNA (tRNA) molecules are approximately 80 nucleotides in length. The record is from Rfam by way of RNAcentral. Lineage: Eukaryota; Metazoa; Chordata; Mammalia; Proboscidea; Elephantidae.